ACGGGAGGCAGCAGUGGGGAAUAUUGGGCAAUGGGCGAAAGCCUGACCCAGCAACGCCGCGUGAAGGAAGAAGGUUUUCGGAUUGUAAACUUCUUUUAUCAGGGACGAAGAAAGUGAUGGUACCUGAUGAAUAAGCCACGGCUAACUACGUGCCAGCAGCCGCGGUAAUACGUAGGUGGCAAGCGUUAUCCGGAUUUACUGGGUGUAAAGGGCGCGUAAGCGGGGAUGCAAGUCAGAUGUGAAAUCUAUGGGCUUAACCCAUAAACUGCAUUUGAAACUGUAUCUCUUGAGUGUCGGAGAGGUAGGCGGAAUUCCUAGUGUAGCGGUGAAAUGCGUAGAUAUUAGGAGGAACACCAGUGCCGAAGGCGGCUUGCUGGACGAUAACUGACGUUGAGGCUCGGAAGCGUGGGGAGCAAACAGGAUUAGAUACCCUGGUA
This 437-nucleotide ribosomal RNA is filed under the name uncultured Clostridium sp. RNAcentral's name for it is "partial 16S ribosomal RNA". It matches the Rfam family "Bacterial small subunit ribosomal RNA", at positions 341 to 792 of the family's 1533-position model. Lineage: Bacteria; Bacillati; Bacillota; Clostridia; Eubacteriales; Clostridiaceae. The record is from RNAcentral.